This 925-nucleotide ribosomal RNA is filed under the name uncultured archaeon. RNAcentral's name for it is "bacterial SSU rRNA". It matches the Rfam family "Archaeal small subunit ribosomal RNA", at positions 1 to 902 of the family's 1478-position model. The record is from RNAcentral.
UUCCGGUUGAACCUGCCGGACCCCACUGCUAUCGGGAUGGGACUAGGACAUGCUAGUCGAGCGUCUCCAAGCUAUGGAAGAGACGCGGCACACAGCUCAGUAACACGUGGCUAACCUGCCCUUGGGACAAGGACAACUCCGGGAAACUGGGGCUAAUCCCUGAUAAGUGAGAACUCCUGGAAUGGAUUCUCGCUCAAAGGACGUUUAGACCAUGCUUCUAGGCGUCGCCCAAGGAGGGGGCCGCGACCGAUCAGGUUGUUGGUGAGGUAACGGCUCACCAAGCCUUUAACCGGUACGGGCCGUGAGAGCGGGAGCCCGGAGAUGGGCACUGAGACAAGGGCCCAGGCCCUACGGGGCGCAGCAGUCGCGAAAACUCCGCAAUACACGAAAGUGUGACGGGGCUAUCCCGAGUGCCAUCCGCUGAGGAUGGCUUUUCCCCAGUGUAUAAAGCUGGGGGAACAAGGAGAGGGCAAGCCUGGUGUCAGCCGCCGCGGUAAUACCAGCUCUCCGAGUGGUGGGGAUGUUUAUUGGGCCUAAAGCAUUCGUAGCCUGCUUGGCAAGUCCUCCGUUAAAUCCAACGAUUCAAUCGUUGGGCUGCGGGGGAUACUGUCCAGCUAGGGGGCGGGAGAGGCCGACGGUAUCCCCGGGGUAGGGGUGAAAUCCUAUAAUCCCGGGAGGACCACCAGUGGCGAAGGCUGUCGGCUAGAACGCGCUCGACGGUGAGGGAUGAAAGCUGGGGGAGCGAACCGGAUUAGAUACCCGGGUAGUCCCAGCUGCAAACGAUGCAGGCUAGGUGUUGGCGCGGCUACGUGCCGCUCCAGUGCCGCAGGGAAGCCGUUAAGCCUGCCGCCUGGGAAGUACGGCCGCAAGGCUGAAACUUAAAGGAAUUGGCGGGGGAGCACCACAAGGUGUGAAGCUUGCGGUU